GAUGCUGGUGGUUCGCCGCUCGUGACGUCGCGAGAAGUCCACUGAACCUUAUCAUUUAGAGGAAGGAGAAGUCGUAACAAGGUUUCCGUAGGUGAACCUGCGGAAGGAUCAUUGU
Molecule: ribosomal RNA, 115 nt
Filed under: Oreobolus oligocephalus
Lineage: Eukaryota; Viridiplantae; Streptophyta; Magnoliopsida; Poales; Cyperaceae
Also listed under: 1 other name
Description: partial 18S ribosomal RNA
Rfam family: Eukaryotic small subunit ribosomal RNA
Source: RNAcentral